GCGACGCCUUGAUAAUUUGGCUGAAGCGAUAUCCAUUUUUCUUGGCAAUGACUAAAGCAAAGAAAUUAAAGUUCAUUAUCAGUAUUCAUCAUGU
Molecule: long non-coding RNA, 94 nt
Organism: Aricia agestis (brown argus)
Lineage: Eukaryota; Metazoa; Arthropoda; Insecta; Lepidoptera; Lycaenidae
Exons: 3
Source: RefSeq, a predicted model, not a curated record